RNAcentral lists this ribosomal RNA (479 nucleotides) under uncultured bacterium. RNAcentral's name for it is "bacterial SSU rRNA". It matches the Rfam family "Bacterial small subunit ribosomal RNA", at positions 364 to 833 of the family's 1533-position model. The record is from RNAcentral.
UUUCGCAAUGCCCGAAAGGGUGACGAAGCGGCGCCGCGUGCGGGAAGAAGGCCUUCGGGUUGUAAACCGCUGUCGGGAGUUAAGAAGUGCAAGGAUGUUAAUAGCAUCUUUGCUUGACUAAGGCUCCGGAGGAAGCCACGGCUAACUCUGUGCCAGCAGCCGCGGUAAUACAGAGGCGGCAAGCGUUGUUCGGAAUUAUUGGGCGUAAAGAGCACGUAGGCGGCUAUGCAAGUCGGUUGUGAAAGCCUUCCGCUCAACGGAAGAACGGCAUCCGAUACUGCAUGGCUCGAGUGCGGGAGGGGAGAGUGGAACUUCUGGUGGAGCGGUGAAAUGCGUAGAUAUCAGAAGGAACACCGGCGGCGAAAGCGACUCUCUGGCCCGUAACUGACGCUGAGUGUGCGAAAGCUAGGGGAGCAAACGGGAUUAGAUACCCCGGUAGUCCUAGCCGUAAACGAUGGGCACUAAGUAGAGGGGUUUUA